AUGGAUUUAUUACUGCCACUUAUACCACUUCUUUUGAUUGCUGGAGGAGACAGUCAGCAUGCGAGUUUCACUGAUGCUGCCAUGACAACAUCACCAAACUCGCGAUCUUUAACGCUGACGUUUAUAGCCCAACAAGAUGAUGACAUUACUAUUCAAUCCAAUGACCUCAAGUUUUUCAAAGGACUGCGGAAAAUUGGACCAAAAUAUGGAAGAGUCAAACCAGAAGAUGAUAACGGGGAUAAACAUGUUCAUAUUGCAUCUCAAGUUGAUGAUGGUUUAGAGGAGGUCUCUGAGUCAGAACAUGAAGGGGAUCCAAAAAGACUUACAAUGUCAUAUGGGCCAGAACUUGAAGAGGGUCCAGAUAAACUUACAAUGUCAUAUGGGACACAAGAUGAAGAGGAUCCAGAAAAACUUACAAUGUCAUAUGGGUCACAAUAUGACGAAGAUCCAGAUAAACUUACAAUGUCAUAUGGGUCAGAACAUGAAGAUCACCAAGAAAAAGUUACAAUGUCUUAUGUGUCAGAACAUGAAGAUGAUCCUGAUAAACUUACUAUGUCACAUGAUUAG
RNAcentral lists this ribosomal RNA (567 nucleotides) under Triticum aestivum (bread wheat). RNAcentral's name for it is "partial small subunit ribosomal RNA". The record is from RNAcentral. Lineage: Eukaryota; Viridiplantae; Streptophyta; Magnoliopsida; Poales; Poaceae.